Molecule: ribosomal RNA, 479 nt
Filed under: uncultured organism
Description: bacterial SSU rRNA
Rfam family: Bacterial small subunit ribosomal RNA
Source: RNAcentral
GAUGAACGCUGGCGGCGUGCUUAACACAUGCAAGUCGAGCGAAGCACUUUUAAGGAAGUUUUCGGAUGGAAUUAAAAGUGACUGAGCGGCGGACGGGUGAGUAACGCGUGGGUAACCUGCCUCAUACAGGGGGAUAACAGUUGGAAACGACUGCUAAUACCGCAUAAGCGCACAGUGUCACAUGACACGGUGUGAAAAACUCCGGUGGUAUGAGAUGGACCCGCGUCUGAUUAGGUAGUUGGUGAGGUAACGGCCCACCAAGCCGACGAUCAGUAGCCGACCUGAGAGGGUGACCGGCCACAUUGGGACUGAGACACGGCCCAAACUCCUACGGGAGGCAGCAGUGGGGAAUAUUGGACAAUGGGGGAAACCCUGAUCCAGCGACGCCGCGUGAGUGAAGAAGUAUUUCGGUAUGUAAAGCUCUAUCAGCAGGGAAGAAAAUGACGGUACCUGACUAAGAAGCCCCGGCUAACUACGUG